CCUACGGGAGGCAGCAGUGGGGAAUAUUGCGCAAUGGGCGAAAGCCUGACGCAGCGACGCCGCGUGAGGGAUGAAGGUCUUCGGAUCGUAAACCUCUGUUAGCAGGGAAGAAAGUGCACUAUGCUAAUCAUCAGUGAAUUGACGGUACCUGCAAAGGAAGCACCGGCUAACUCCGUGCCAGCAGCCGCGGUAAUACGGAGGGUGCGAGCGUUAAUCGGAUUUAUUGGGCGUAAAGCGCGCGUAGGCGGUAUGUCAAGUCAAGGGUGAAAUCCCGGGGCUCAACGUGGGAACUGCCUUUGAAACUGGCAGGCUGGAGUGUGUGAGAGGAAAGUGGAAUUCCAGGUGUAGGGGUGAAAUGCGUAGAUAUCUGGAGGAACAUCAGUGGCGAAGGCGACUAUCUGGCACAUAACUGACGCUGAGGAGCGAAAGCGUGGGUAGCAAACAGGAUUAGAUACCCCAGUAGUC
Molecule: ribosomal RNA, 465 nt
Filed under: uncultured bacterium
Lineage: Bacteria
Description: partial 16S ribosomal RNA
Rfam family: Bacterial small subunit ribosomal RNA
Source: RNAcentral